AUUGAACGCUGGCGGCAGGCCUAACACAUGCAAGUCGAGCGGAUGAAGGGAGCUUGCUCCUGGAUUCAGCGGCGGACGGGUGAGUAAUGCCUAGGAAUCUGCCUGGUAGUGGGGGAUAACGUCCGGAAACGGGCGCUAAUACCGCAUACGUCCUGAGGGAGAAAGUGGGGGAUCUUCGGACCUCACGCUAUCAGAUGAGCCUAGGUCGGAUUAGCUAGUUGGUGGGGUAAAGGCCUACCAAGGCGACGAUCCGUAACUGGUCUGAGAGGAUGAUCAGUCACACUGGAACUGAGACACGGUCCAGACUCCUACGGGAGGCAGCAGUGGGGAAUAUUGGACAAUGGGCGAAAGCCUGAUCCAGCCAUGCCGCGUGUGUGAAGAAGGUCUUCGGAUUGUAAAGCACUUUAAGUUGGGAGGAAGGGCAGUAAGUUAAUACCUUGCUGUUUUGACGUUACCAACAGAAUAAGCACCGGCUAACUUUGU
RNAcentral lists this ribosomal RNA (483 nucleotides) under uncultured bacterium. RNAcentral's name for it is "partial 16S ribosomal RNA". It matches the Rfam family "Bacterial small subunit ribosomal RNA", at positions 30 to 506 of the family's 1533-position model. The record is from RNAcentral.